CUAUGCUAUAAACAUUUAACUGUGCUAAAAACCUAUUUUGCUUUUUUCUUCCUUUCCUAGUGUCCAUUUAAAGUAAAUUUUCAGAUAUCAAAUGUAUCAAACAGGCUUCAUUUUGGACAUUAGAAUGCAAUUCUUGGCUGAACCUAUCAUUUUAAGGGCUGAAACACUGCAGAGAUAAUCAAUAAAAGGUGGUAUUUUUUCUGAUUUCCAUUGAUGUACAAGAUUGUUCUCU
Pelobates cultripes (western spadefoot toad) is the source of this 232-nucleotide non-coding RNA. Lineage: Eukaryota; Metazoa; Chordata; Amphibia; Anura; Pelobatidae. The record is from the annotation of a GenBank genome assembly.